UCCUCCCUCUGGCGGCGUGCUUAACACAUGCAAGUCGAACGGAAAGGCCCUGCUUGCCGGGUACUCGAGUGGCGAACGGGUGAGUAACACGUGGGUGAUCUGCCCUGCACUUCGGGAUAAGCCUGGGAAACUGGGUCUAAUACCGGAUAGGAGCCAUUUUUAGUGUGAUGGUUGGAAAGUUUUUUCGGUGUAGGAUGAGCUCGCGGCCUAUCAGCUUGGUGGUGGGGUAAUGGCCUACCAAGGCGGCGACGGGUAGCCGGCCGGAGAGGGUGGACGGCCACAAUGGGACUGAGAUACGGCCCAGACUCCUACGGGAGGCAGCAGUGGGGAAUAUUGCACAAUGGGCGCAAGCCUGAUGCAGCGACGCCGCGUGGGGGAUGACGGCCUUCGGGUUGUAAACUCCUUUCGCUAGGGACGAAGCUUUUUGUGACGGUACCUAGAUAAGAAGCACCGGCUAACUACGUG
This 465-nucleotide ribosomal RNA is filed under the name uncultured bacterium. RNAcentral describes it as "partial 16S ribosomal RNA". It matches the Rfam family "Bacterial small subunit ribosomal RNA", at positions 36 to 507 of the family's 1533-position model. The record is from RNAcentral.